Long non-coding RNA from Tympanuchus pallidicinctus (lesser prairie-chicken), 3319 nucleotides. RefSeq lists it as uncharacterized. Lineage: Eukaryota; Metazoa; Chordata; Aves; Galliformes; Phasianidae. The transcript is spliced from 3 exons. The record is from RefSeq and is a predicted model, not a curated record.
GAAACUACCCCAAAUAGUUUCUUGCUGCAUCAUGCUGUGCUGCGUGCUUUCUGGUGGUGACCCUGACCUUUGCUGGGAUGGUAGUUAAAACAUUUAUGUGACAGAAGACGUUUUCUGUGUAUGACUUCAAAAAACAAGGGGAAAGCAUCUGACAUCAAACAACACCGUCAGUGCUGCCGACAUCAGGCACUGAGUUACACCGUCUGGGCUGCAGAGAUGCGAUUAAUCUUGUUUGCUGUUAACCAGGUGAACGCAGUCAGGAGCACAACAGUGAGCAAGCUGAAGAUUAGGGAGGAAUAUGAAGAAAAUUUGGAAGGUUUGAGUUUUUGAAAACUAAUAUUUCAUCUGGACUGGAGAGCAUCUGAGUGAGGACCUGAAGGAAGGAUUCCUGCCCAGCAUAAGUGGUGCCACUUUUAUCCAGUAGCAUCCUGACCUAUUCCCAUAGAGAAGGCAAUGAGACAAGUCAGUGGAAGAUGUAUAGAGGGACGUUUGCCAGCUUCCAACAACCCUCCUGAUUGGUUCAGGAGCACAGUGAAGAGGUGAGAGCAUAGCAAAGAGGUGAGGCUGUGGCUGGGCCUGGACAGGGAGUGCAGAGUGCCUCAGCCUGGGAAAGAGUCACAGGUGAGUAGCUUGGCACAUUAGUCACUCACUUAAUGCUAAGCAUUGCAAAACAGUGCUUUAAUCCUGCAGCUGAAGUGCAGUAGUUGGAAGCAGGUGCAUUGUUCUCCUGGAACACUUUUCUCAUCAGUUAUUUGUUCAGCACUCAGACAGGUCUUCAGAAGAAAGCGGCUCAGAGCUGACUCCAGGUGAGUCAUCCUGUGUGGAAAUUAAGGAUCCAAACUUUUAAAUUGUGUCAUUUCUUGCAUUUAAAGGUAAAUUAAGCAGGUAAAGCUCCCCGGAAAUCAGUGAAGCAGUGCUCUGCUGUUGCUCCAGCAUUAGACCUCCUCAGUGCAUCACUGCCAUAGCAGUCACAUGUGACGGGUAACUGUGCACUAAGCCACACAAACUCUGUGUUGUUUAUGGUGUUGGCAAACAGCAGCACAGGACUGCACACUUCAAUAGGUUGUGCUCAGAAGCCUAAAAGGCUGCAUGUAAUUUGACUGUGUUUUGACAAGCUGUACUAACAUUGGUGGUGGUUGGCUCAGGUAGGAGCUCCCCAAAGACUGAAUGCAGUGUCACUGAUAAAUGAGAGCAAGAAACCUGAAUUAAGGUUAAGCUUAGGUCCUCCCACUUGCACAGAAGGGGUCUAAAGGUUUCCCAUGACUAUCUAUGGAUGCUUUUUUUGAUCUCUUGGUGCAAACUGGCUGAUCAGUGUCCCCUUCCUGGCUGCUGUUUGGAGAAGAGCAGCUGCCACACAUCAGGUGCCUGUGCUGUGAUGUUAGCUGUGAUUUCACCUCAUCCUUUGACCUUUCCCACUACCAGAAUCUUUUAAAAGUGAAACUGUGUAGCAGCUUCUUAAUCCAUACUUUGUAAUAGGCUUCCUCUCUACAUUGUGUGGUAUGUGUUCCUCUCAGGUGUGGUGUUCUACAGUUCAGGUUCUGAAAUAGUAAGCUUAUUGUAUAGUUAACAUAAAACUGGUGUUUAGUUGCUGCAGAUUUCUUAUUUUUUAAUUAUAAAUCAAGUUGUUUAUUUAAUCUCUUUGCUUCAAGUAAGUUUGGCUUUUUGGUAGCUCUCCAACCCAAACUGUUAUUUGAAGACUGAGACAACAUUCCUGGCAAGACUGGAACUUAGAAAGAAGUAAGGGGCCAAGAUGGCUCAACUCUUUGGGAUAUAUUCAAACACAGCAGGUGAAUUACAAGAAGAAAUUAAAAGAACAAAAACUACACUGAGGAAAUCACUCCCUGCCAUGUUCUAUACCAACAUCCAAUGCACAACUAAUACCAACUGUAUCAACUGUCAUCCAUUUCCUUUGGGUACUGAAUGAAUAAGUACAAUGUCCUCCGUUUAUUAUGGAAUUAUUAUAGAAUUAUUAUUCUCUUGCUGUAUAAAUCAUUCAGCACGUUUAGUGCAGACAAGUAGAGAUGCUGUAAUCUGCAUACAGUAAGCAGCUAUGAGAGAUUAAUUUCACAUGUGCGGACAAGUCUCUGAGGAGUGCAGCGCACUCACUGCAGGAGCAAAAGUAGCUGUUAGUUCUAACAAGGGAUUCAAUUUAAAAAAAUCAUGCACGUCUAGAAGCCAAGCAAGGAGAGCAAUUGUGCAGAUUACUUACUAAUUACUAACAAAUGUGCAAGCACUUAAAGUUAUAAAAGACAGUAUAGCUAUUGGAAGCUGCCAAGACUUUCAGCAUCAUUCAUUUAAGGGCCAAUUCUGACAUACCCAGUUCAAACAACUGCUGUUUUGUCAUUCUUUCCAUCACUCACUCAAAAGCAGCUCUGGGUUUAUGCAAGGCACUGUGUUUACUGCAAUGGAGAAGAUCAGGCAACAAAACAUCACAGAAGAUGCUUGAGUUUGAAACCUCACAUUUCUGCAGCUACUCCAAAGUUGGAGCAGUGCUGGUGCUCAGUGGUGAAGACCCUCAGCACUGGUGCUGGCUGUUCAUUGCCUGGCUGAUGUCCAUCUUUGCUGGACUGAAUUUGUGGAAUUAUGUGCCUUAUGAUUAAUUUCAGCUGCAUGGGCCAUGUGAGCAGUGUAAAUGAGAGUAUUACCUUGAUGCACACACAGAAAAUGACAUCUCUACUCUUGGAACUGAAAGAGAAAGUCAGAUUGUGUGUGCAUGUGAGGGGAGUAGCAAAUGGGACAAGGAUGAAUGCCGUCUCUUUGGUUCAUAACGUGGUGCAUGCUUGGAGAAACUAGUGAGGGACAUCUGCAAUGUGCUUUCCUGAGCAGGGAAGAGAGAGGUGCUUUUGUCUGCUGGUUUAACUGUGUGCACAGAACGUAUCUGUAUUGUAUCUUAUCUAUUUCAGAGAGCAGAUAGAAACAGAGAAUGAAUAUAUCUUGGUAGCCUGUUUCUUCUGAGCUGUAGCUGCUGCAUUUCUGGAAGUAUUGCACAGCUGUCCUGUAUCCAUUAUACAGCCUUACUGCUUUGAAUAAGUUCCUACUGAAUCUCCUGUCUGCCUCGUAUCAUUUUAUUUGCAUUUAUUAAAACUAGGAAAUGUGGAACUGAAAUAAAAAGGUUAUUUUGUUAGAGCCCAUAACAACUAAGCCACCUUUGUUUUCUUUGUGCAUUUGCAUUACUAGCCCCAGCUCUGUCUUCUGAUAGGCUUUUUUUAUUACAGUAAUGACUGGGAAAUCCACCAGCUUAUUUCACUAAAUCCCCAUUUUUUUCUUCCUUGUGGACACAGCACUAUUUUGGAAACUGGAAGAAAAAAAAAAAACAGAA